This 506-nucleotide ribosomal RNA is filed under the name uncultured bacterium. Its description in RNAcentral is "partial 16S ribosomal RNA". It matches the Rfam family "Bacterial small subunit ribosomal RNA", at positions 29 to 523 of the family's 1533-position model. The record is from RNAcentral.
AGUGAACGCUGGCGGUAGGCCUAACACAUGCAAGUCGAACGGCAGCACAGAGGAGCUUGCUCCUUGGGUGGCGAGUGGCGGACGGGUGAGGAAUACAUCGGAAUCUACUCUGUCGUGGGGGAUAACGUAGGGAAACUUACGCUAAUACCGCAUACGACCUACGGGUGAAAGCAGGGGACCUUCGGGCCUUGCGCGAUUGAAUGAGCCGAUGUCGGAUUAGCUAGUUGGCGGGGUAAAGGCCCACCAAGGCGACGAUCCGUAGCUGGUCUGGGAGGAUGAUCAGCCACACUGGAACUGGGACACGGUCCAGGCUCCUACGGGAGGCAGCAGUGGGGAAUAUUGGACAAUGGGCGCAAGCCUGAUCCAGCCAUACCGCGUGGGUGAAGAAGGCCCUCGGGUUGUAAAGCCCUUUUGUUGGGAAAGAAAUCCAGCUGGCUAAUACCCGGUUGGGUUGACCGUACCCAAGGAAUAAGCACCGGCUAACUUCGUGCCAGCCGCCGCCGUAA